AUGCCCGGUGCUCUGCUUCUCUCUGCAAGCGGCUCCAACGGCCAGCGCCGGGCCAGGCAGAAGCCAGGAGGCUUGACCUCCAUUCAGGGCGCCCAGGAGGCCGGGAGGCGUGGUCCCUGGGUCACAGGCUGGAGAGGCCGCCCCGCCUGCAGCCCUGGGGCUUCGGAGGCUGGACGCGGCAGGCAGCGCGGAGGUGCGUCCCGCGGCGCCACGGCGGCCGCCCAUGGGGAGUGCGCCUGCGCCCGGCGCUGUGACCCGGAAGUGGCCCCUUGUGCCCCGGAAGUGGCCCCUUGUGGCCCGCGGCGCUCAGGUAGGAGUCCUCGCGGGUCCCGUCCGCUGCUGCCGGAGAGCCCGCGCGAGCCGUCGGGAGCCGUCCUGGACGCUGCCGGCGGAGCCUGCGGGAGACCCAGCGCCCCCGGGGUCAGGCCGGGCUCAGAGAGGCUGCGGCCCGAGGCUGCCGCGCCGUUUCCCGGGCGCGGUUCUCUUCUUCGGCCCCUCGUGGAAGCAGCGGCCUUCGCGGGCCUCUGUGCCGCCAGCAGACCGGGCCCCCUUGGCGGUACAUCUCCUGCUCAGCCAUCCUCAGAUGGAAGUCUGCUCCUCAUCUGUUCCUGCCCAAAAGCCUGUUCAAGUCUUGAGGAGCCGUCCUCGAUGCUGCUGGCGGAGCCUGAGUGAGACCCAGUGCCUCCGGGGUCAGGCCUGAAUCAGAGACACUGCAGCCCGGGACAGCCGCAUCAGUUACCUUGCCCUUCUGGAAAUGUGUAGGCGCGGUCCUCUUCUUGGGCAGUCUGGAAGUCUACCCCUCGGGCCUCGGCUCCUGUUCCAGAGGAGCAGAAACGCUCUUUG
RNAcentral lists this long non-coding RNA (843 nucleotides) under Oryctolagus cuniculus (rabbit). Its description in RNAcentral is "lncRNA (ENSOCUG00000038929.1)". The record is from RNAcentral. Lineage: Eukaryota; Metazoa; Chordata; Mammalia; Lagomorpha; Leporidae.